ACACGUAAAAACUGUCAACAUAUCCACGCGCGCAUCCAGCUCAGGCUGUCUGUUAUACUCUGAUUUAAGAUCUAAAAUAUAUUCCUUAAUACAGGCUACGAUUUGAAAAUGGCAUCAGUGUAAUAUCAGUGGCUAGAAUAUCAUGGUGCAAGCAGGUUUCUG
Molecule: long non-coding RNA, 162 nt
Organism: Haliotis rufescens (red abalone)
Lineage: Eukaryota; Metazoa; Mollusca; Gastropoda; Lepetellida; Haliotidae
Exons: 3
Source: RefSeq, a predicted model, not a curated record